RNAcentral lists this small RNA (62 nucleotides) under Plasmodium falciparum 3D7. RNAcentral's name for it is "Pfa-raR299". Lineage: Eukaryota; Apicomplexa; Aconoidasida; Haemosporida; Plasmodiidae. The record is from RNAcentral.
AAAAUCGAAAUGGAAGAUACCCAAAAAAUCGAAAUCGUGCACGGACACAUGCAGUAGCCGAG